This 253-nucleotide ribosomal RNA is filed under the name uncultured prokaryote. RNAcentral describes it as "partial 16S ribosomal RNA". It matches the Rfam family "Bacterial small subunit ribosomal RNA", at positions 525 to 777 of the family's 1533-position model. The record is from RNAcentral.
ACGUAGGGUGCGAGCGUUAAUCGGAAUUACUGGGCGUAAAGCGUGCGCAGGCGGUUUUUUAAGACAGGCGUGAAAUCCCUGGGCUCAACCCAGGAACUGCGUCCGAGACUGGGAGGCUAGAAUCCGGGAGAGGGAUGUGGAAUUCCAGGUGUAGCGGUGAAAUGCGUAGAUAUCUGGAGGAACAUCGGUGGCGAAGGCGGCAUCCUGGACCGGUAUUGACGCUGAGGCGCGAAGGCCAGGGGAGCAAACGGGA